UGGUCGGAAGUCAUUCAGCUCAAAAAACAGGCAUGUGAAAUACAACCUCGAAAAUGCGAACAUCAAUAGAAUGACAUAAAUUCAAUAGAAUAAUAAUAAAUAACCGCAUAGAAUGACAACAUUACAUGAAAAACGCUAGGAAAAAAAUACACGGAUAUCCUUGAUUUCAAUGGAACAACUUUGCAAUUCAAUUUAAAAACCGACAACUUUUUAAUUACCGCCCUUCGGCUUGCUAAUUCCUCAUUACAAUUAAUAGAGGUUUUGCUGCGUUUUAUCUUAAAAAGCUAUAUGCUAGACGCAUUAAAACCAACAGUUCUAUAGGGAAUAAUCUGUAGUAAGCACCUACCUUAAAAAUUUAAGUUAUUUUUGAAUUCAUUAUGUCUCCAGGCGCCAAGAGACAUCCCAAUACUCGCAAUUAUUUUAAAUACUUAAAGUAAAACCUGAAGCUCGCAAAAAAACGUAUGUGCUUAAAUUAGUGCCGCACAACGUCUGUGUUUAGUUCCUUUAUUACAAAUACUGGAAAACUAGGAAAACUAAUUUCAGGUAGGUAUAUGGGUAAUACGUGCUAUGGUCCUCAAUAUGAAAAAAGCAGAAAACGACUACAACGAAGUGAAAAAGAAAUCAUAUUUGUUUUGCCCAUAGUAGUAGUUACGACUGAUUCAAAUAGGCAAUAUGUCGUUUACGACCCCGCUAAAAUUAUGGCGUCCGAUCAAGAUCAUCAUAGAUUGAGUACAGAAAGUGUUCAAAACAGUUCUAGAAGAGUAUUGAAACAUAAACCAACUCUGUUCCAACCGGUCAGGCUAUUGCGAAAAAUCAUGUACCGAUCUGGUUUACAAGAGCAAGACAACAGCACAGGGAACCAAGAGAGGAAAGAGCUGAAUACACCUUUAAAUUGCAUAAUCGAACAUUUUCCAACUACAGCUUUAGAACAAAAAGAUUUAAAUUCAUAAUCGUUAAGGAAAUAUGCCCUUACUGACCAGACGUAGAAAAUUAAUAAACAGAACCUAAAUAACAAUAUAUUUUUUAGUCAAUUUGAUUAGAUUAGAUCUUUGAUUUCCAA
Dendroctonus ponderosae (mountain pine beetle) is the source of this 1060-nucleotide RNA transcript. RefSeq lists it as uncharacterized. NCBI's taxonomy places the organism in Eukaryota, Metazoa, Arthropoda, Insecta, Coleoptera, Curculionidae. The transcript is spliced from 4 exons. The record is from RefSeq and is a predicted model, not a curated record.